This 361-nucleotide unclassified non-coding RNA is filed under the name fungal sp. Its description in RNAcentral is "partial internal transcribed spacer region". The stretch from base 1 to 46 matches the Rfam family "Eukaryotic small subunit ribosomal RNA", at positions 1786 to 1831 of the family's 1831-position model. Lineage: Eukaryota; Fungi. The record is from RNAcentral.
AAGUCGUAACAAGGUUUCCGUAGGUGAACCUGCGGAAGGAUCAUUAACAAAUCCAUUUUUCGCGCCAUUGUAGGCAAGCAGGAAAAGGUCGAAACGCCUUAACCGCGCCUCUACCUACCGUGGCCCGGAAUACCUGAUCUCUGGAAACAAAUAGCAAUAUUUUUUUCAGAGGUCAUCACAACAAGUAACCUGGGGUACUUUAGAGUCGAGGCAUGCUUCGGUGUGUCUUUACUUUAGAGCCCUUCUAAUAAUCCCUUUAUUUUACCAUUUUACCCCUUUAAACUAUUAAGACUGAUAUGACAUGAUUUAAUGUCACAAUUAAAUCUGAAAACAACUCUUAACAAUGGAUAUCUAGGUUCUG